CUACAAGCUUCCUGCAUGCUUGAGUCUAAGAUGACACUGUGCAUUUCUUCAGUGCUUGCAAGAACAUUAUGAAACAGUUUGCAGCCUUUUCCUAUUCCAUUCAGAGCAAGAUUAUAGAAAUUUUAGAUAAAU
Suncus etruscus (white-toothed pygmy shrew) is the source of this 132-nucleotide small nucleolar RNA. RefSeq annotates it as small nucleolar RNA SNORA9. Lineage: Eukaryota; Metazoa; Chordata; Mammalia; Eulipotyphla; Soricidae. The record is from RefSeq and is a predicted model, not a curated record. The transcript has a single exon.